This 230-nucleotide ribosomal RNA is filed under the name uncultured bacterium. RNAcentral's name for it is "partial 16S ribosomal RNA". It matches the Rfam family "Bacterial small subunit ribosomal RNA", at positions 562 to 791 of the family's 1533-position model. The record is from RNAcentral.
AAAGCGUGCGCAGGCGGUUAUGCAAGACAGAUGUGAAAUCCCCGGGCUCAACCUGGGAACUGCAUUUGUGACUGCAUGGCUAGAGUACGGUAGAGGGGGAUGGAAUUCCGCGUGUAGCAGUGAAAUGCGUAGAUAUGCGGAGGAACACCGAUGGCGAAGGCAAUCCCCUGGACCUGUACUGACGCUCAUGCACGAAAGCGUGGGGAGCAAACAGGAUUAGAUACCCUUGU